Molecule: ribosomal RNA, 502 nt
Filed under: uncultured bacterium
Lineage: Bacteria
Description: partial 16S ribosomal RNA
Rfam family: Bacterial small subunit ribosomal RNA
Source: RNAcentral
GAUGAACGCUAGCGGCAGGCCUAACACAUGCAAGUCGAGGGGCAGCACAGAAACAGCAAUGUUUUGGUGGCGACCGGCGGACGGGUGCGUAACGCGUAUGCAACCUACCUUUAACAGGGGGAUAACGGAGAGAAAUUUCCACUAAUACCCCAUAACAUCGAUCAAGGCAUCUUGAUUGGUUGAAAACUCCGGUGGUUAAAGAUGGGCAUGCGUUGUAUUAGGUAGUUGGUGAGGUAAUGGCUCACCAAGCCUACGAUACAUAGGGGGACUGAGGGGUUAGCCCCCCACACUGGUACUGAGACACGGACCAGACUCCUACGGGAGGCAGCAGUAAGGAAUAUUGGUCAAUGGGGGCAACCCUGAACCAGCCAUGCCGCGUGCAGGAAGACGGCUCUAUGAGUUGUAAACUGCUUUUAAACAGGGAUAAAGCACAGUAUGUAUACUGUGUUGAAGGUACUGUAAGAAUAAGGAUCGGCUAACUCCGUGCCAGCCGCCGCGGUAA